This 496-nucleotide ribosomal RNA is filed under the name Dendrobaena octaedra. RNAcentral's name for it is "partial large subunit ribosomal RNA". It matches the Rfam family "Bacterial large subunit ribosomal RNA", at positions 1811 to 2605 of the family's 2925-position model. Lineage: Eukaryota; Metazoa; Annelida; Clitellata; Crassiclitellata; Lumbricidae. The record is from RNAcentral.
AAACAUUGCUUUUUGACAAUUCAUAAAAAGUAAUUCCUGCCCAGUGAAUAUAUUCAACGGCCGCGGUAUCCUAACCGUGCAAAGGUAGCAUAAUCACUUGCCCAUUAAUUGUGGGCUAGAAUGAACGGACCAACGAAAUAAAACCUGUCUCUGUAAACUUUAUAUAAAUUAAAAUCUAACUGAAGAUUGUUAGAUGCCACUGAAGGACAAGAAGACCCUAUAGAGCUUAAUUUUAAAUUGUACUAAAAUCAGUCUAAAAAUUCGGUUGGGGCGACCAGGGAAAUUAAUAAUCAUCCCUUAGUCAAAGAUUUAUUAAUCUAUAAAUAAGACCCUACUAAGAUCUAAAGAACAAGCUACCUUAGGGAUAACAGGCUAAUCCUGCUAAAGAGUCCUUAUCUAUAGCGGGGGUUGGCACCUCGAUGUUGGCUUAGGGAAUCUAUAUAAUGCAAAAGUUAUAUGAAGAUGGUUUGUUCAACCAAUAACACCCUACGUGAUC